RNAcentral lists this ribosomal RNA (483 nucleotides) under uncultured bacterium. RNAcentral describes it as "partial 16S ribosomal RNA". It matches the Rfam family "Bacterial small subunit ribosomal RNA", at positions 899 to 1397 of the family's 1533-position model. The record is from RNAcentral.
ACUCAAAGGAAUUGACGGGGGCCCGCACAAGCAGCGGAGCGUGUGGUUUAAUUCGAUGCAACGCGCAGAACCUUACCGGGGUUUGACAUGCUCAGGAAAAGCCGAGAGAUCGGUUCCCUCUUCGGAGUCUGAGCACAGGUGCUGCAUGGCUGUCGUCAGCUCGUGCCGUGAGGUGUUGGGUUAAGUCCCGCAACGAGCGCAACCCUCGUCGCUAGUUGCAUCUUUCUAGCGAGACCGCUGCGCAAAACGCAGAGGAAGGUGGGGAUGACGUCAAGUCAUCAUGGCCUUUAUGCCCCGGGCUACACACACGCUACAAUGGGUGGUACAGACGGUUGCGAAGCCGCGAGGUGAAGCUAAUCCGACAAAGCCAUCCUCAGUUCAGAUUGCAGGCUGCAACUCGCCUGCAUGAAGACGGAGUUGCUAGUAACCGCAGGUCAGCACACUGCGGUGAAUACGUUCCCGGGCCUUGUACACACCGCCCGU